This 975-nucleotide unclassified non-coding RNA is filed under the name Nassauvia aculeata. Its description in RNAcentral is "partial external transcribed spacer". The record is from RNAcentral. Lineage: Eukaryota; Viridiplantae; Streptophyta; Magnoliopsida; Asterales; Asteraceae.
CGACGAUGCCGAUGCUUGCUUGGCAUGCUAUAGCCCCUCCUUGGUAGCAUGCUAUUGACAAGUGUCCGUCCCGAUUGCUAGGUGUUUGUUGGAUCGAUGUGGUGUGGCCCGUUGCAGUUUCGUGUUGGUUUCUUGAUCGUCGUAGCAUGCUCCCUUCUAUGUGCAGUAACUUGCCUUGUGACAAGGUAUCCUGCGGAUCGAUGUGACACGGGUAGGGGAAAAUCGGGAUUGGAGUUAUGAGACGUUGACGCAGCUUGGACGAAGUUCGCCUUCGUGUUGGUUUGCUGAUCGUCGAAGCAUUCUCCCGUCUUUGUGUAGUAACCUAUGUCGUGACAAGGUAUCCUAUGGAUCGAUGUGGCACAGGUAGGGGAAAAUCUGGAUUGGAGUUUUGAGACGUUCAUGCGGCUUGGACGGAGUUUGCUUUCGUGUCGUACGGCAUCAUGGUUUUUGUGUUUUUCGUACCGUUCGGUGCAUUCCGGGAGUUUCUUCGUGCUCGUAGUUGUUUGCUUGGCAUUCGUGCUGGGGUUGUGGCUACUUGUGCGGGUUGUUUCAGGGAAUGAAUAUCGUAAAGGUGCAUGAGUGGUGUUUGGUGUGUUGCUGGUGGUUGGAUGACUGCAUUCGCAGCAACGUCCACCGGGGCAUACCUCUUCAUUUACGGCGAACGGUUGUUUCACAACCGGGAGCAUUUGUUGGGUUUUCCUGUGCUGCGUACCUACUUUAGGGCAUGCAAUCGGUUGGUUAAUGUGGAUAUUCACUCCAUGCCACUUGCGUGGCGUGGGAUGAACUAGAACUGGUCCCUCUAUGAUCCUUGUCUUUGACGCAUUGUGUUUUUGGCAUGGCCCAUUGGGCGUGGCUUGGUUUCUUGGAUACGGAACCUUAUGUGGGCAUGGGGUCGCCUAGGUGACCCUGCUUUUGCCCUCGUCAAGCGUUCUUGCUUCUAAAAAACAACAUGCGGUCGUGCAUCGACUUGUCGAU